AACGCACAUUGCGCCCUUUGGUAUUCCGAAGGGCAUGCCUGUUCGAGCGUCAUUAUCACCCCUCAAGCCCUGUGCUUGGUGUUGGACGGCCUGGUCGAGCUACGCUGGACCCCUCCGAAAAAUAAUGACGGCGGCCUGUGGAUCCCCCGGUACACUGAGCUUUUAACUGAGCACGUAUCGGAUGAGGGCGCCCAGGCCACGGUCCUCUCCUUGCCAAAAGGAAACUUUCUCAAGGUUGACCUCGGAUCAGGUAGGAAUACGCGCUGAACUUAA
RNAcentral lists this unclassified non-coding RNA (273 nucleotides) under uncultured Chaetothyriales. RNAcentral's name for it is "sequence contains 5.8S rRNA gene, ITS2, 28S rRNA gene". The stretch from base 1 to 52 matches the Rfam family "5.8S ribosomal RNA", at positions 103 to 154 of the family's 154-position model. Lineage: Eukaryota; Fungi; Ascomycota; Eurotiomycetes; Chaetothyriales. The record is from RNAcentral.